CUGAAAUUAAAGGUACUAUUGGUAAAGUACAGUAACACAAGGAAUCCAAUAAACCAGAAAAUUCAAAACUGUAUCACAAUGGUUUAACAAUUUGCUCUAAAAAUGAGUUCAAACAAACCAAUAAGGCACAAUUAACAUGGGAAAAAACUCUAAAAUAAAACUUGUGAUUUACUAUAAUCACCCAAACCUAAGAGUCUUCCAAAAAGAUUGUUAUCUCAUUUUGUGGUCCAAAAUUAUGCCUUGGAGGCAACCUUUUCCUUUGCCUUCUGAAUUUUGAGGACCUUUUUCACGAUCUUUUGCUCUUCAACCAAGAAAGCCCUAAUGAUCCUAUAGAACCAGAGACAAAUAUAAUCAGAUUACAGCAUCAAUUAAAUCAAAUCAUUAAAUGUAAGAGCUGUAACAGCCUGUAAGAUAAGCAUACAAACCUUUCCCGAACAGCACCUCCAGACAAAACUCCGCCAUAAGCACGGUUCACAGUCCUACGGUUUCUAGGCAGCCUUGAUCUCUUGUACUCUGUAGGCCUCAAGUGUGGGAUCUGCAAUUAUAAAAAAAAAAUUAUCUUGCAAGCUCAAAUAAUCAUAGGCAGACCAAAAGUAAGAAACAUAUAAUACAUUGAAUAGUAAAAAAGCAUGUCAGAGGAAAAUCAUACAUAACAGAAAAUACAUUCUGCAGUAUAUAUCAUAUUAUUCAUGAUAUAUGCCAACAGAGCCAGCAUAUGAUUGUUCACGGAUUCUAAUUUUCUUUAUGAAACAAAAAGCUCACCAAACAUUCUAUAACAAAGCAAAAGAACAUCAACAAACAAUCAAGUGAAAUUUAUAACUGUUCAUAUAAUAAGAAACAUGGUAAUAUAAAUUAAAAAUAGAAGGCUUUAACUCCUAAUUUUGUUCCAAGUUAAGGCUUCAAGGUAUAUAAGUGUGUCAUGAUAGAAUUUCAAAAACUAAACUGGAAUCUGCAAUUGUCAAGCAUAAAUUAUCUUCCAAGCUCGAAUAACCAUACACCAACCAUUCCAAGACAAUGGAAGAGAACAAGCAAUCAAGUAAAAUUGUUAACUGGUCAUAUAUUAAAAAACAUGGUAAUAUUGAUUAAAAAUGCCAAGGUUGGGAUCUUGAUCUAGUUAACUGUACAGGAUAGGCAUAUGAUUGUAUCAAGAUAAAAAAUUAUACUUCUAGCAUGUCAAUUUAGUUUAAAUUCCGUAUGAUAAACUCAAAUAUCUUUCACAAUCUGACCUCAGUAUCCCAAUGCCAUGAGCAAUUGAUAUUUACUAAGGUUUGCAUUCAAAGCCAGAUAUUAGUGUAUAAUUUUAGGGAGUUAAUUUCCCCACCCUAUGAGUUCCUCCACAGCCUGUUCAGUUUGUAAAAUCCAAAAUAUUUUAACAUGUUUUGAAGGAUUUUAUAGGGUGUCAAUGUCGUUCGGAUUUUAUAAUCUGAACUGCAUAGGGCAAGCAAGAAACUUAAUAGGGUGGGAAAAGAAGGUGCCAUAAUUUUAUAUAAUUUUAUCAUUUUUCUUAGUCAUUAUUUAAAAGUUUGAAAUAAACAUCACAAGGACAAACUAGGUGCGAACCAAACAUUCACAAGCUCUGUUUGGAUAGACAUCUUAUCUUGCUGCAACUUAUAGCAGAAAAGAUAAGAUAAAGUUAUUUCUAUAACUUGAUAAAAGAAAGUUAAAUUAUUUUUGUAAAGCUACUAUAAGUUGUUUUUGUAAGCUAUCUUAGAGAGGUUACGAAAAUAAGCUGAAAAUAAUUUACGAACAUUUCAUAAGUUGUUUUCCUAAGUUCUCCUGAACUGUAUCACAUGUGUUUAUGCUUGUGGAUAAUCUCAAAUAAUCGAAUAUAUAACCACAUUUAGAAGUUUUAAUUUCAAAGGUAAUAAAGCAAAUCAAACACGAGAUAUCAAAGCAUUAUUCAAGUUAGAUAAUCAUCCCAAUACAACUAUCAUACAACAACAAAUAUUCAUCAGAGAAGAACAAAAAACCAGUUACCAUAAAUCACAACAUAAAACUAUAAACAAUGGCAACAACUUUUAACUUAUAAAAUCCAAGAUAAACAUCAUAAAUCAAAGGUAAACAACGAUAAUGAAGAGCAAUAAAACAAAACAACACAUGAGAAAUUACACAAACAUAAACAAUCGAAAAAAAUAAACGAAAUACAUACUCCUUGAAUUCUCUUGCCAGUAACAGGGCACUUAGGUCCACUAGCUCUCUUCUUAGUAGUCUGAUAAACAAGCUUACCACCUACAUUUCAACAAAACAAAAUCAAAACCAAUUUCAAAACAAAUCUGAGAUUCAGAAUCGAAGAAGAUGAAAUUGAAAACGAAAUUUACUUACCAGGGGUUUUGACAACCCUGUGUUGGUUGGAUUUGGUUGCGUAGCUGUGACGACGGCGAUAGGUGAGACGUUGCACCAUUUUCGAUCGAGAUUUUGCUGCCCCUACCUCACCGCUGAGCUUAUUA
Molecule: long non-coding RNA, 2447 nt
Filed under: Medicago truncatula (barrel medic)
Lineage: Eukaryota; Viridiplantae; Streptophyta; Magnoliopsida; Fabales; Fabaceae
Description: lncRNA gene30546
Source: RNAcentral